Non-coding RNA from Sorex fumeus (smoky shrew), 693 nucleotides. The record is from the annotation of a RefSeq genome assembly. NCBI's taxonomy places the organism in Eukaryota, Metazoa, Chordata, Mammalia, Eulipotyphla, Soricidae.
AUGGCCUGGGUUCCUCUUCUGCUCACAUUUCUGACUUACUGCACAGGGGUCACUUCUCAGAAUGUGGUGUUUCAAGAAUUGUUACUGCCCACAAAUCCUGGGGGUACAGUUACACUCACCUGUGGCUCCAGUGCUGGGACUGUCACCACCAACAAUUUUGCUAGUUGGAUUCAACAGAAGCCCUACCAGAAGUCCAGGGGUCUAAUAGUUGAUACCAGUAAUAAGAAUCCAGAAGUUCCCGCCCGAUUCUCUGGCUCCCUGCUUGGAAACAAGGCAGUCCUCACCAUCACUGGAACCAAAGAAGAGGACGAAGCUGAGUAUUUCUGUGUUCUGUGGUUCAGCAAUCAUUCCACAAUUGUGGUGAUUCAAGAAUCGUCACUAGUCACAACUGCUGGAGGCACAGUUACACUCACAUGUGGCUCCAGUACCGGGGCAGUGACCACCAAUCACCUUGCUUGCUGGAUUCAGCAGAAUCCCUACCAGAAGCCCAGGGGUCUAAUAGCUGGAACCAGUAAUAGGCAUCCAGAUGUCCCUGCCCGAUUCUCUGGCUCCCUGCUUGGAAACAAGGCAGUCCUCACCAUCACUGGAGCCAAGGAAGAGGACGAGGCUGAGUAUUUCUGUGCUCUGUGGCUCAGCAACCAUUUCCACAGUGACAGAUGGAAGUGGGGAAGUGAGACAAGAACCCUGAACUAA